Molecule: RNA transcript, 2133 nt
Organism: Dermacentor albipictus
Lineage: Eukaryota; Metazoa; Arthropoda; Arachnida; Ixodida; Ixodidae
Source: RefSeq, a predicted model, not a curated record
CGCAUGCGCUGAGGCAGCAGCUCGUCGCCGCGCCGAUGGGAACCACGUGAAACGCACCGAACAGUGCGAGGGACCAAAUAUUCGGUGAUCCUGGCGUCGCUGCCAUGACGUGUCGGACCACACCGGCCGGUUUCUGGAACAUUAAAGCGCCGGCUUGUCUCCGGCACUUCAUGGCCCAGCCACCCGUCAUUGAUGAGCACGGAAUGAAACGACGUAGUUCUUGCAGUGCCCGAGCCGAGGAAUGCUAAGUGCGCCUUCUCGCGUCAGGCAAUGGCGAGGUCUGAAAAAUCUUGUCUGAUGACCGGCGUACAGGUAACGGCGCACAACGCUUUCGGCCUUACGUGUUCUUAGCCAAUACAGUUUAUACAGUUUAGACAAGGACCGAUGUUUUUCAGCGCGUCUGUUCGCUUUGGCAUUGUGAUACUGCCCAACACGAAGUGCGACGUUCAUUGUGCUCUUCGGAUGUGGUGUGUUCACGUUCCACGCAUAGAGUGGUUGACUAGACCUGUAGUGAAGUUUCUUUUUGUCCCAAAGGAAGUAAGACGGCACUUGAAAUCGGAUGAGGGAGCUUCACGCCAGAAUUUCGACGUGGCCAGCCAUUCGAUGGUGUUGGCAGGCUGGUUUCAUGCGGUGCGCUGUGGCAGUCGUGAAGAAUCUGGAGUUCAUCUGAGGGCCUCUGGAGUGUCUGUGCAGGUGGCAGCAGUAUCCUUUCGGUGCCCAUCAUGGAGUGUAAUGACUUCUUCGAUGCCAAUAUUGUGACGCAGGUCCCCCGAUGUCGAGUGUGCCAGUCGUGUGUCGAGAAAUUUCUAAGAAUUAUUAUGAGCCACGGAGUUUUCUGCAAUCAUCACUAGAGGGAACUCUGGUGCCGCCAUCGUUCAACGACCACGGGAAUUGUGUUCCCACCGGAGAAUCUUCAAUAUUUCAGUAUCGACGCGGAUGACCGGAUGGCCGGACGAAGUGCGCAUCCUGCCUAAGAUACUGCAGCGCUUCACACGUGCAAAUACGAGCACCUCGGAUUUGCCAAUGCAAUGCCUGCAGUGCUCUCUUCGUGAAACAACAUGACGGCAGGCGGCCUGGCAUCUAUAUAACUCCGGAGAAGCCUGGUGGGGGGGAGCCCUCACUUCGAAACAGAGAGUUGCUCGUUUUUUCUCAAUUCUACAGCUUCGCCGCUAACAAACUUUCGCUCGUUGCCGCACCCACCCGCCUUAGCCCCUCUUCCCUUUAGCAGAACCCUACCUGUAUAUACUGUGACGAAGAAAGCAUACAGUGCCUUGAAAAAGACAAUUCUAAUUGUGGAAACGUUGGCUCCCGCUUUCGCCUUGUUCUCGUUCUGCUCACAUGCUAGUUUACUUAUUGAUUUAAGAGUAGGAAUGUGCAAAGUGUCCGUGCUUGCACUUUUUGAACCAGUUGUGGUGUGUAGUAGCCCUAAAUUUAUACCUAGAUGUGUCAGUGUCAUGGAAAUCAUCGGGGCGGAUAUCAAAGCUCUGAUUACACCUUUCGUAUGUGUGUACACGUUGGAGCGGAUUCAGCUUCUUGGUGUUAGUGUAGAGGAAGCAUUCUAUGUAUCAUUUCUUCUUCAGUUUUAUCUGUUCAUAAAUGCGGCUUCAGUCAUUGUUUAAUGUAAGUGGCCGUUAGCGAUGUCUUUUUGUGAGUUUUGGAAUCACAAACGUUGCUACUCCUGCAGACACACCGAUGGCAGAAAUAAAGAAAAAUGAAUACAGAUUUCCUUCUGAACUUCUAUACGUAGUGGAGACCACAUUAGGCCUUAACUCCUUCUGCUCUUGCAUCCUUCCUAUUCUCGUCCAUUCUAAAAUAAGGCUACCAGGAACAGUGGCCAUAAACAGCAAAAUAACACAUUUAGCUCAAAGCAUUUGAUGUCAGGAAAGCGGUUAUUGCUCCACCCCCCAAGCCAUUCGCAGAAGCUGUAGUCGGGUCUAGGUUGAAGAUGACACAGCUGUCGAAAGCGUCCCUGAAGAUUUUGUGACGCUGGACGCCGAAGCAACGCUGGAUGCUGAACCAAUACCCACAACACGGAGGCUUCCUUGUGCUUUGACGAAGUUCAAGAAGAUGUCCUGCAGGGUGUUUUCUGCAACGAGGACAUGUUCGAGGGGGAAGUUUUGUUGGAGUUUCCCC